CCUCUUUAAGAUGUGUCAUUUGCGCAACAAACAUCACUUUAGUCAGAUGCAUCUCACAAAGCAAGUUGUCUGACUAUGGCGAAAACUUUUUGGAUUGUAUCUUUAUAAGGAAACCUUAAAGGCACACAGACGGCAUGAAAUUCUGUGCAUGCGUCACACAGCUCCUAUGACUGGAGCUGCCUGUACUUCUGUAAAUGAUCAGCCCCAAACUUGCACUUGUAAAGAGAAGAAGAUCAGCAGAACUCCUCCUCAUGUUAGCCAGAGCAUCUCCUGUACACAGAUGGCUGAGCUGCUGAGUGGGUUCUAAGAGAUUAAGAAAGAGAUGAAUCUCUACUCAACAAUUUGGAGAUUCAUUAUGAUACUACAUUUUUCCAUUAAGGG
Molecule: long non-coding RNA, 381 nt
Organism: Micropterus salmoides (largemouth bass)
Lineage: Eukaryota; Metazoa; Chordata; Actinopteri; Centrarchiformes; Centrarchidae
Exons: 3
Source: RefSeq, a predicted model, not a curated record